This 301-nucleotide long non-coding RNA is filed under the name Olea europaea (common olive). Its description in RNAcentral is "long non-coding RNA (OEUR_LNC002508)". The record is from RNAcentral. Lineage: Eukaryota; Viridiplantae; Streptophyta; Magnoliopsida; Lamiales; Oleaceae.
GGAAGGACCAUUACUCUUGUGCCAUUAACACCGGCACAAGUCUAUGAAGACCAAUUAAAAUUGAGAAGUGAGGAAGAGAGGAGAGCAAAAGAGUUAGAAAAAAUGAGAGCAAAUAGUGAGUUGGAGAAAAAGAGAGAAAAUAUUGAAAUAGCCAUUAGAGAGAAAAAGAGAGAGCAAUCACAAGAGAAAAAAGAAAGAGAGUGCCCCGAGAGAAGAGAGAAAACACGAGUGAAUUUUUUUGCAAAAGAGAGUAAUUUGAGGAGGGCGGUAGUUGAGAGAAGAGAGAUGAUCUUGUUCGUUU